Molecule: ribosomal RNA, 255 nt
Filed under: uncultured bacterium
Lineage: Bacteria
Description: partial 16S ribosomal RNA
Rfam family: Bacterial small subunit ribosomal RNA
Source: RNAcentral
UACGUAGGGCGCAAGCGUUUGUCCGGAAUUAUUGGGCGUAAAGAGCUCGUAGGCGGUUUGUCGCGUCUGCCGUGAAAGUCCGGGGCUCAACUCCGGAUCUGCGGUGGGUACGGGCAGACUAGAGUGAUGUAGGGGGAGACUGGAAUUCCUGGUGUAGCGGUGAAAUGCGCAGAUAUCAGGAGGAACACCGAUGGCGAAGGCAGGUCUCUGGGCCGAUACUGACGCUGAGGAGCGAAAGCGUGGGGAGCGAACAGG